Molecule: ribosomal RNA, 425 nt
Filed under: uncultured bacterium
Lineage: Bacteria
Description: partial 16S ribosomal RNA
Rfam family: Bacterial small subunit ribosomal RNA
Source: RNAcentral
GUGGGGAAUAUUGGACAAUGGGCGAAAGCCUGAUCCAGCAAUGCCGCGUGAGUGAUGAAGGCCCUAGGGUUGUAAAGCUCUUUUACCAGGGAUGAUAAUGACAGUACCUGGAGAAUAAGCUCCGGCUAACUCCGUGCCAGCAGCCGCGGUAAUACGGAGGGAGCUAGCGUUGUUCGGAAUUACUGGGCGUAAAGCGCGCGUAGGCGGUUUUUUAAGUCAGAGGUGAAAGCCCGGGGCUCAACCCCGGAAUUGCCUUUGAAACUGGAAAACUUGAAUCUUGGAGAGGUCAGUGGAAUUCCGAGUGUAGAGGUGAAAUUCGUAGAUAUUCGGAAGAACACCAGUGGCGAAGGCGACUGACUGGACAAGUAUUGACGCUGAGGUGCGAAAGCGUGGGGAGCAAACAGGAUUAGAUACCCCUGUAGUCC